AUCAUUGUCUAUUGAGAUAUAGUAUACAAAAUGGAGAAGACAUCAAUUGUUAAUUUGCUCUCUCUUAUUGCCUUGAUAAUUUUGUUAGGUUCACCAUCACGUAUGGUAUCAGGACAUGUAUCUCAAAAGUGUCACAUUAAAGAAGACUGUAAUCCUGCAUCGUGCAUCGAUGGUGGAAUUAUGAUUUGUUUCCAGCAAAUUUGUACGUGUGUAUGGUGGGAUCAUAAGGAAGGGCAAAAAAAUACAAUGAUUGUAUAAGCAUAUGUCCACCUAAAAAUGUAUUGGAUUUUGCUUUUGUAAUGAUUGUUAAAUCCAAAAUUAAGACAUGUUUAAGGUACACAAAAAAUAUUUUAUCUUAUUAAA
Molecule: long non-coding RNA, 363 nt
Organism: Solanum pennellii
Lineage: Eukaryota; Viridiplantae; Streptophyta; Magnoliopsida; Solanales; Solanaceae
Exons: 2
Source: RefSeq, a predicted model, not a curated record